Physeter macrocephalus (sperm whale) is the source of this 104-nucleotide small nuclear RNA. The record is from Ensembl. NCBI's taxonomy places the organism in Eukaryota, Metazoa, Chordata, Mammalia, Artiodactyla, Physeteridae.
GUGCUUGCUUAGGCAGCACAUAUAUUAAAACUGGAACGAUGCAGAGAUUAGCAUGGCCCCUGAGCAAGGAUGAAACGCAAAUUCGUGAAGUGUUCCAUAUUUUU